GCCGCCGUUCGCCACUCUAGUUGCCGCCGUUCGCCGCUCCAUCAACCGCAGUUCGCCGCUCCAGCCGCCGCCGUUCGCCGCUCCAGCUCCGUCGCUGUCGGCCGCUCGCAUUCAACAACCACCGCCGUCGCCACCAGGUUUAGGGCUGCUCAAUUUUGGCUGUGUGGGGCUGUCCAACCGAGAAGACAAAUGAGGGGAAAAUAUAAUGCUCAAGGCACUCCUAGAUCUCAUUAUCAUUUUUAGCUAGAGUAAAUUCUAGAUUAUCUGCUUAGAUUUUCCAAGCUGUAACAUAUCUCUUUUAUAUAUCAUGAACAAAAGUUUGCAUGUAUAUGUAUAUGCGGGGAUAUACUAAUAUGCUAAUUAAUUUUAAGUGCUAA
Molecule: long non-coding RNA, 377 nt
Organism: Salvia splendens (bonfire salvia)
Lineage: Eukaryota; Viridiplantae; Streptophyta; Magnoliopsida; Lamiales; Lamiaceae
Exons: 2
Source: RefSeq, a predicted model, not a curated record